Molecule: ribosomal RNA, 433 nt
Filed under: uncultured bacterium
Lineage: Bacteria
Description: partial 16S ribosomal RNA
Rfam family: Bacterial small subunit ribosomal RNA
Source: RNAcentral
AACGAACGCUGGAGGAAUGAAUAAAACAUGCAAGUAGAACGAGACAAUAGGGAAAAGAGGAGAAAGAGAAAGAAAAAAAUAGAAAAAAACAAUUACGUUAGCACUCACUCACCGAAAGGGGUGCUAAUACCGGAUAAUGUCUUCGGACCAAAGAUUUAUCGCCUUUGGAUGGGCCCGCGUUGGAUUAGCUAGUUGGUAGGGUAAAAGCCUACCAAGGCGACGAUCCAUAGCUGGUCUGAGAGGAUGAUCAGCCACACUGGGACUGAGACACGGUCCAGACUCCUACGGGAGGCAGCAGUGGGGAAUAUUGGACAAUGGGCGAAAGCCUGAUCCAGCAAUGCCGCGUGAGUGAUGAAGGCCUUAGGGUUGUAAAGCUCUUUUACCCGGGAUGAUAAUGACAGUACCGGGAGAAUAAGCUCCGGCUAACUCCGUG